RNAcentral lists this ribosomal RNA (501 nucleotides) under uncultured bacterium. Its description in RNAcentral is "partial 16S ribosomal RNA". It matches the Rfam family "Bacterial small subunit ribosomal RNA", at positions 355 to 874 of the family's 1533-position model. The record is from RNAcentral.
UGGGGAAUAUUGGACAAUGGGGGCAACCCUGAUCCAGCCAUGCCGCGUGAGUGAUGAAGGCCUUCGGGUUGUAAAGCUCUUUUGGCGGGGACGAUGAUGACGGUACCCGCAGAAUAAGCCCCGGCUAACUUCGUGCCAGCAGCCGCGGUAAGACGAAGGGGGCUAGCGUUGUUCGGAAUUACUGGGCGUAAAGCGAGUGUAGGCGGUUGCCGUAGUUAGGUGUGAAAGCCUUGAGCUCAACUCAAGAAAUGCACUUGAUACUGGGUGACUAGAGGACCGGAGAGGAUAGUGGAAUUCCCAGUGUAGUGGUGAAAUACGUAGAGAUUGGGAAGAACACCAGUGGCGAAGGCGGCUAUCUGGACGGUUACUGACGCUAAGACUCGAAAGCGUGGGGAGCAAACAGGAUUAGAUACCCUGGUAGUCCACGCCGUAAACGAUGGGUGCUAGACGUUGGCGAGCUUGCUCGUCAGUGUCGCAGCUAACGCGUUAAGCACCCCGCCU